UCUGAUUUCGAUUCCGAUUGUGAACCAAACACUCUUUCAAUCCCUACUCUCCUCUAUGAAUUCAAAUUUUCAUUAUGUUUUCGAUCACGAAUCAAGCGCUUCGGGGGAUUGGCCAUUCUGAUUUCGAUUUCAGGCCAUUUCGAUUCUCAUUCUAAUUUUGAUCGCGAACCAAAAACUCCCAGAGAAGAGUAUGGAUUGAGUUCUAUAUAG
This 210-nucleotide long non-coding RNA is filed under the name Elaeis guineensis (African oil palm). Its description in RNAcentral is "long non-coding RNA (EGUI_LNC025181)". Lineage: Eukaryota; Viridiplantae; Streptophyta; Magnoliopsida; Arecales; Arecaceae. The record is from RNAcentral.